GCAUCUCAUGUCUUCUGCUGGAAGAUCCUGAAACUACUCACCUACUUAAGAGAAUCUCCACAUUGUUGGCAUAAUCUUCACCUCUCUGUGCCUUUCCUCCCAUGAAAGGAAGUUGAGAGAAAGGAUGAGUCAAGUAACAUAAGAAACUACUGAGAAGGUGGGAAGAGGUCCAGAGUCACCCAAGUGGGUUCAGACCCGGAACCAAUUAUCCAGUAAUGGAUUAGCACACGGUUUUCCACUUUGAGACUAUUUCUCAGCCUGCCUCACAGGGAAAAUCUGGAUGCAGACAGACAUGCAGUGAGGGAAGACGAUGUGAAGACACACAGAAGAAGAUGCCCAUGGGCCUGGAAUAAUGCGUCUAUAAGCCAGUGAACACCAAGGGUAGCCAGCAAACACCAGAAGCUAGAAGAAGGCAGGAUUCUUCCCUAGAACCAUCAGAGC
This 441-nucleotide long non-coding RNA is filed under the name Equus asinus (donkey). RNAcentral's name for it is "lncRNA (ENSEASG00005031739.1)". The record is from RNAcentral. Lineage: Eukaryota; Metazoa; Chordata; Mammalia; Perissodactyla; Equidae.